RNAcentral lists this ribosomal RNA (1212 nucleotides) under Shigella flexneri. RNAcentral describes it as "partial 23S ribosomal RNA". It matches the Rfam family "Bacterial large subunit ribosomal RNA", at positions 1 to 1244 of the family's 2925-position model. The record is from RNAcentral. Lineage: Bacteria; Pseudomonadati; Pseudomonadota; Gammaproteobacteria; Enterobacterales; Enterobacteriaceae.
GGGUUGUGAGGUUAAGCGACUAAGCGUACACGGUGGAUGCCCUGGCAGUCAGAGGCGAUGAAGGACGUGCUAAUCUGCGAUAAGCGUCGGUAAGGUGAUAUGAACCGUUAUAACCGGCGAUUUCCGAAUGGGGAAACCCAGUGUGAUUCGUCACACUAUCAUUAACUGAAUCCAUAGGUUAAUGAGGCGAACCGGGGGAACUGAAACAUCUAAGUACCCCGAGGAAAAGAAAUCAACCGAGAUUCCCCCAGUAGCGGCGAGCGAACGGGGAGCAGCCCAGAGCCUGAAUCAGUGUGUGUGUUAGUGGAAGCGUCUGGAAAGGCGUGCGAUACAGGGUGACAGCCCCGUACACAAAAAUGCACAUACUGUGAGCUCGAUGAGUAGGGCGGGACACGUGGUAUCCUGUCUGAAUAUGGGGGGACCAUCCUCCAAGGCUAAAUACUCCUGACUGACCGAUAGUGAACCAGUACCGUGAGGGAAAGGCGAAAAGAACCCCGGCGAGGGGAGUGAAAAAGAACCUGAAACCGUGUACGUACAAGCAGUGGGAGCACGCUUAGGCGUGUGACUGCGUACCUUUUGUAUAAUGGGUCAGCGACUUAUAUUCUGUAGCAAGGUUAACCGAAUAGGGGAGCCGAAGGGAAACCGAGUCUUAACUGGGCGUUAAGUUGCAGGGUAUAGACCCGAAACCCGGUGAUCUAGCCAUGGGCAGGUUGAAGGUUGGGUAACACUAACUGGAGGACCGAACCGACUAAUGUUGAAAAAUUAGCGGAUGACUUGUGGCUGGGGGUGAAAGGCCAAUCAAACCGGGAGAUAGCUGGUUCUCCCCGAAAGCUAUUUAGGUAGCGCCUCGUGAAUUCAUCUCCGGGGGUAGAGCACUGUUUCGGCAAGGGGGUCAUCCCGACUUACCAACCCGAUGCAAACUGCGAAUACCGGAGAAUGUUAUCACGGGAGACACACGGCGGGUGCUAACGUCCGUCGUGAAGAGGGAAACAACCCAGACCGCCAGCUAAGGUCCCAAAGUCAUGGUUAAGUGGGAAACGAUGUGGGAAGGCCCAGACAGCCAGGAUGUUGGCUUAGAAGCAGCCAUCAUUUAAAGAAAGCGUAAUAGCUCACUGGUCGAGUCGGCCUGCGCGGAAGAUGUAACGGGGCUAAACCAUGCACCGAAGCUGCGGCAGCGACGCUUAUGCGUUGUUGGGUAGGGGAGCGUUCUGU